GAUGAACGCUGGCGGCGUGCCUAAUACAUGCAAGUCGAGCGAACAGACGAGGAGCUUGCUCCUCUGGCGUUAGCGGCGGACGGGUGGGUAACACGUGGAUAACCUACCUAUAAGACUGGGAUAACUUCGGGAAACCGGAGCUAAUACCGGAUAAUAUAUUGAACCGCAUGGUUCAAUAGUGAAAGACGGUUUUGCUGUCACUUAUAGAUGGAUCCGCGCCGCAUUAGCUAGUUGGUAAGGUAACGGCUUACCAAGGCAACGAUGCGUAGCCGACCUGAGAGGGUGAUCGGCCACACUGGAACUGAGACACGGUCCAGACUCCUACGGGAGGCAGCAGUAGGGAAUCUUCCGCAAUGGGCGAAAGCCUGACGGAGCAACGCCGCGUGAGUGAUGAAGGUCUUCGGAUCGUAAAACUCUGUUAUUAGGGAAGAACAAAUGUGUAAGUAACUAUGCACGUCUUGACGGUACCUAAUCAGAAAGCCACGGCUAACUACGUG
This 497-nucleotide ribosomal RNA is filed under the name uncultured bacterium. RNAcentral describes it as "partial 16S ribosomal RNA". It matches the Rfam family "Bacterial small subunit ribosomal RNA", at positions 28 to 507 of the family's 1533-position model. The record is from RNAcentral.